RNAcentral lists this ribosomal RNA (253 nucleotides) under uncultured bacterium. RNAcentral describes it as "partial 16S ribosomal RNA". It matches the Rfam family "Bacterial small subunit ribosomal RNA", at positions 524 to 776 of the family's 1533-position model. The record is from RNAcentral.
UACGAAGGGGGCUAGCGUUGCUCGGAAUCACUGGGCGUAAAGGGUGCGUAGGCGGGUCUUUAAGUCAGGGGUGAAAUCCCAAGGCUCAACCUUGGAACUGCCUUUGAUACUGGCAAUCUCGAGUCCGGGAGAGGUGAGUGGAACUGCGAGUGUAGAGGUGAAAUUCGUAGAUAUUCGCAAGAACACCAGUGGCGAAGGCGGCUCACUGGCCCGGUACUGACGCUGAGGUGCGAAAGCGUGGGGAGCAAACAGG